UGAAUGAUCGGAACUCCCUGCAAAACGUUAGUAACAGGAGACACAAAAGUUUGCUCCUCCCAUGUUUGCAUGUCAUCAUUGCACAAGGAUAUAUGAGAUUCAGAAACAUGAAAUAAAUCACAUUGUU
Molecule: small nuclear RNA, 127 nt
Filed under: Oryza sativa Japonica Group (Japanese rice)
Lineage: Eukaryota; Viridiplantae; Streptophyta; Magnoliopsida; Poales; Poaceae
Source: RNAcentral